AACGAACGCUGGCGGCAUGCCUAACACAUGCAAGUCGAACGAAGCCUUCGGGCUUAGUGGCGCACGGGUGCGUAACGCGUGGGAAUCUGCCCUUGGGUUCGGAAUAACAGUUAGAAAUGACUGCUAAUACCGGAUGAUGUCUUCGGACCAAAGAUUUGUCGCCCAAGGAUGAGCCCGCGUAGGAUUAGGUAGUUGGUGGGGUAAUGGCCCACCAAGCCGACGAUCCUUAGCUGGUCUGAGAGGAUGAUCGGCCACACUGGGACUGAGACACGGCCCAGACUCCUACGGGAGGCAGCAGUGGGGAAUAUUGGACAAUGGGCGAAAGCCUGAUCCAGCAAUGCCGCGUGAGUGAUGAAGGCCUUAGGGUUGUAAAGCUCUUUUACCAGGGAUGAUAAUGACAGUACCUGGAGAAUAAGCUCCGGCUAACUCCGUGCCAGCAGCCGCGGUAA
This 449-nucleotide ribosomal RNA is filed under the name uncultured bacterium. Its description in RNAcentral is "partial 16S ribosomal RNA". It matches the Rfam family "Bacterial small subunit ribosomal RNA", at positions 29 to 523 of the family's 1533-position model. The record is from RNAcentral.